This 253-nucleotide ribosomal RNA is filed under the name uncultured bacterium. RNAcentral describes it as "partial 16S ribosomal RNA". It matches the Rfam family "Bacterial small subunit ribosomal RNA", at positions 524 to 776 of the family's 1533-position model. The record is from RNAcentral.
GACGAACCGAGCGAACGUUAUUCGGAAUCACUGGGCUUAAAGGGCGCGUAGGCGGGCGGCCAAGUCAGGGGUGAAAGCCCCCAACUCAACUGGGGAAGUGCCUUUGAUACUGGUCAUCUCGAGGGAGAUAGGGGCGUGCGGAACUUCCGGUGGAGCGGUGAAAUGCGUAGAUAUCGGAAGGAACACCGGUGGCGAAAGCGGCGCGCUGGAUCUCUUCUGACGCUGAGGCGCGAAAGCCAGGGGAGCGAACGGG